This 324-nucleotide ribosomal RNA is filed under the name Triticum aestivum (bread wheat). Its description in RNAcentral is "partial small subunit ribosomal RNA". The record is from RNAcentral. Lineage: Eukaryota; Viridiplantae; Streptophyta; Magnoliopsida; Poales; Poaceae.
AUGAAAGAGGAGAGGCAUAGAAAAUAUUUAAAAAAAGCAGCAUGGAUGCCUAGCCUAAUGGAGGCUGGUGCUGCAGCAUCGACCGCCCGACCAGAGCCAGCUCCUCUCCGGAGGAGACAUGGCCGUCGUGGGAUUCCCGUCGGCGGAGCAGGGGUGCGGGGGUCCCGGGCUCCCGGUAGCAGGAGGUCAGGCGGUUGGCUUGGUUCCUGUCACAACGAGAGAGAGACGGGAGGGGAAAAGGGAAGGAUCGAGCGAUGGAAAGAGGAAAUGGAGGAGGCCGACAGUGGUCUGAUGGCCUGCUAUGGCGAGGAGCUCGCCUCCUGA